Molecule: long non-coding RNA, 1646 nt
Organism: Astatotilapia calliptera (eastern happy)
Lineage: Eukaryota; Metazoa; Chordata; Actinopteri; Cichliformes; Cichlidae
Source: Ensembl
CGAGUAGGAGGUGGUCCUGUGAUUGCGAUAAUCUGCUCACGAUCACAUGACACCAAACCAGCUGAGAAGUUCCACUUGGAAGCAAAGGAAAGAAAAUCUGUAAGGAAACAAAUCUGAAGUCACAGAUGCAGUGUUACUAAAGCGAAACAGGGGCCUGCUGAAAAAUUAAUGCCACCGAACGUCAGCGUUGUUUAAAAUUAAGCAGCGUGGGUUGCAUUCAAGCUAAUUCGAGCAAAUCGCACUUUGAUCCAAACUUGUUUUUUUUUUUUUUUCAAAGAAUGACAGCCUGAACACACACACAAGAAAAUCAACAUUCACUCCUUUUUGUAGGAUCUAAUUAAUACAACAGGGAAAUAAUAAUAAGCGAUUCUUCUGUAUUAUUCUCGAUCAAAGCCAGUUUCAUCUCCUUUAAAUGUAAACAAAAGUCAGUCCUGUUCUUUAUUAAAAUUGCUUUGCCCUUUUGUCCUCUCUAACCAUGAAGAUAAAUGUGUUACGGCGCGACAUAAUUGUGUUUACAGUUGGAGAACAAGCGCUGUUUCUAUUUGUCAUUUAUUUUUGAUGAGUUUCUAUUGCGUUCUCAGUUUUCUCAUUGCACCAGGCAAUGAGAGCCCCCAGGAUGAAUCUGUGCUUUUCUGUGUUUAACUCUUGUUUCAGCAAAAAGGAAAAACCAGGGUGAGAAACUAGGAGGGAACACAGCCCACCACCUGUCAGUGAUAUCGGAAUCAACAGGUGAACCCUCCACCCCCACACAUCUCAUCAGGAGGAAGGCUGGUGGGAGCAGGGAGCUGUCUAGAGAGAGACGUAAACGUCAGCUUCUGCAUGAACUCUGCUUCCUCAUCUCAUGGAGUUUGUAGAUGUUGAAACCGGUGCAAAGAAAACUGUGAAAGGACCUCAUCUGCCACCAUGCUCCAUUGCAGACCAAUAAGACGGGGGUGCAGGAAGGUGAGGGGGUUUUGUGGUGGGGACGGAGUCAGGAGAGCGUGACUCGGCUGCAGGAAAGCUCUGCUUGUGAAAGAGGAGAUGGAGGAGCUUGCUGAAAGGCCUUUAGCUGCUGAUCCCAUCCUGUUGUGUGUGUGUGUGUAUAUAUAUGUGUGUGCGUGUGGUGGUCUAUCCAGCAGCUGCACCCUCUCCAGACACCUGUAGGACUUAACAUGCCUGCUUGUCCUUCCUAAAGCACGUUCCACUGCUCUUAACCUCUUAACAUCCACAAGGUCACCAGUGAACCAUACAGUUUGCUUUUGAUUAAGUCACAUGGUAAAAAGGUAAAUACUCAUAACGUAAAGAUGUUACUUGUAAGAUGUGGUCUUUUCUUGCAUUUUGGCUUUAUAGCUGAUAAUCAAAGUAGAAAAAUUUCAAAAUAAAGUGGUAGACGUGAUCCUGUGAUCUUCGUUUUCUGACUACAGCAUGUUGACACUCCUCCCUGUCCUCUGCCAGGACAUACAGUUCUUGAACCUUUGUCUUUAUCAGCUCCUUCAUUGUCCUUAUGUAGGUAAUGUGCGGUUUACUGUAUUUCUGUUAUGCCCUUGGGUUGUACUGUACAGUGCAUGCUGAUGGAUUAUGUUGUCUGGGGGUUUUCGAAGCCAGUGGCCAAAAGUUCAGACUCUGUUUGACUCCUUUCAACUCUUUUCAAAAGCACCUCUUUGUUU